Molecule: non-coding RNA, 28 nt
Filed under: Mus musculus (house mouse)
Lineage: Eukaryota; Metazoa; Chordata; Mammalia; Rodentia; Muridae
Source: RNAcentral
UGACAGAUCAGUCAGUGGGUGCCCCCUG